AUUGAACGCUGGCGGAAUGCUUUACACAUGCAAGUCGAACGGUAGAGGGGGCAACCCCUUGAGAGUGGCGAACGGGUGAGUAAUAUAUCGGAACGUGCCCAGUCGUGGGGAUAACGUAGCGAAAGUUACGCUAAUACCGCAUACGAUCUAAGGAUGAAAGCGGGGGAUCGCAAGACCUCGCGCGAUUAGAGCGGCCGAUAUCAGAUUAGGUAGUUGGUGAGGUAAAGGCUCACCAAGCCAACGAUCUGUAGCUGGUCUGAGAGGACGACCAGCCACACUGGGACUGAGACACGGCCCAGACUCCUACGGGAGGCAGCAGUGGGGAAUUUUGGACAAUGGACGCAAGUCUGAUCCAGCCAUUCCGCGUGCAGGAUGAAGGCCCUCGGGUUGUAAACUGCUUUGUACGGAACGAAAAGGUUUGUCUUAAUACGAUGAGCUCAUGACGGUACCGUAAGAAUAAGC
Molecule: ribosomal RNA, 462 nt
Filed under: uncultured bacterium
Lineage: Bacteria
Description: bacterial SSU rRNA
Rfam family: Bacterial small subunit ribosomal RNA
Source: RNAcentral